CCUACGGGUGGCAGCAGUCGAGAAUCAUUCACAAUGGGGGAAACCCUGAUGGGGCGACGCCGCGUGGGGGAAUGAAGGUCUGCGGAUUGUAAACCCCUGUCAUGUGGGAGCAAAUUAAAAAGAUAGUACCACAAGAGGAAGAGACGGCUAACUCUGUGCCAGCAGCCGCGGUAAUACAGAGGUCUCAAGCGUUGUUCGGAAUCACUGGGCGUAAAGCGUGCGUAGGCUGUUUCGUAAGUCGUGUGUGAAAGGCGCGGGCGCAAGGCGCGGACGGCACAUGAUACUGCGAGACUAGAGUAAUGGAGGGGGAACCGGAAUUCUCGGUGUAGCAGUGAAAUGCGUAGAUAUCGAGAGGAACACUCGUGGCGAAGGCGGGUUCCUGGACAUUAACUGACGCUGAGGCACGAAGGCCAGGGGAGCGAAAGGGAUUAGAUACCCUGGUAGUC
Molecule: ribosomal RNA, 446 nt
Filed under: uncultured bacterium
Lineage: Bacteria
Description: partial 16S ribosomal RNA
Rfam family: Bacterial small subunit ribosomal RNA
Source: RNAcentral